This is a small nuclear RNA of 123 nucleotides. Its record names the gene U4. It matches the Rfam family "U4 spliceosomal RNA". Rfam says of the family: U4 small nuclear RNA (U4 snRNA) is a component of the major U2-dependent spliceosome. The structure of U4 snRNA from yeast and human has been reported. The record is from Ensembl.
AACUUUGCUCAGUGACAGUAUGGUAGCCAAUGCGGUUUAUCCGAGGCAUGAUUAUUGCUAAUUGCAAACUUUUCCCAAUGCCCCGCCAUGACUACUUGAAAAGAGUCUCCUAUUUAGAAAAUC